GGAGGUGUAGCUUAGUGGUAGAGCUUGUGCUUAGUAUGCACCAGGCUGUGGAUUCGAUCCUCAGCAUCAUCU
RNAcentral lists this transfer RNA (72 nucleotides) under Fukomys damarensis (Damara mole-rat). It matches the Rfam family "tRNA". Rfam says of the family: Transfer RNA (tRNA) molecules are approximately 80 nucleotides in length. Lineage: Eukaryota; Metazoa; Chordata; Mammalia; Rodentia; Bathyergidae. The record is from Rfam by way of RNAcentral.